GCAAUGGACGAAAGUCUGACCGAGCAACGCCGCGUGAGUGAAGAAGGUUUUCGGAUCGUAAAGCUCUGUUGUAAGUCAAGAACGUGUGUGAGAGUGGAAAGUUCACACAGUGACGGUAGCUUACCAGAAAGGGACGGCUAACUACGUGCCAGCAGCCGCGGUAAUACGUAGGUCCCGAGCGUUGUCCGGAUUUAUUGGGCGUAAAGGGAGCGCAGGCGGUCAGGAAAGUCUGGAGUAAAAGGCUAUGGCUCAACCAUAGUGUGCUCUGGAAACUGUCUGACUUGAGUGCAGAAGGGGAGAGUGGAAUUCCAUGUGUAGCGGUGAAAUGCGUAGAUAUAUGGAGGAACACCAGUGGCGAAAGCGGCUCUCUGGUCUGUCACUGACGCUGAGGCUCGAAAGCGUGGGUAACGAACAGGAUUAGAUACCCUGGUAGUCCACGCCGUAAACGAUGAGUGCUAAGGUGUUAGGCCCUUUCCGGGGCUUAGUGCCGGAGCUAACGCAAUAAGCACUCCGCCUGGGGAGUACGACCGCAAGGUUGAAACUCAAAGGAAUUGACGGGGG
This 561-nucleotide ribosomal RNA is filed under the name Streptococcus mutans. RNAcentral describes it as "bacterial SSU rRNA". It matches the Rfam family "Bacterial small subunit ribosomal RNA", at positions 368 to 919 of the family's 1533-position model. Lineage: Bacteria; Bacillati; Bacillota; Bacilli; Lactobacillales; Streptococcaceae. The record is from RNAcentral.